AAAAAGAAAGCCCUUCGGGGUGGAAUUUUUACAUCUUAGCGGCGGACGGGUGCGUAACACGUGGGUAACCUGCCCCUAUCACUGGGAUAACACACUGAAAAGUGUGCUAAUACCAGAUAAUAUAAGCUUUUGGCAUCAUUAGCUUAUCAAAGAAUUUCGGAUAGGGAUGGGCCCGCGUCUGAUUAGCUAGUUGGUGAGGUAACGGCUCACCAAGGCAACGAUCAGUAGCCGACCUGAGAGGGUGAUCGGCCACACUGGAACUGAGACACGGUCCAGACUCCUACGGGAGGCAGCAGUGGGGAAUAUUGCAUAAUGGGCGAAAGCCUGAUGCAGCAACGCCGCGUGAGCGAUGAAGGCCUUCGGGUCGUAAAGCUCUGUCCUAUGGGAAGAUAAUGACGGUACCAUAGGAGGAAGCCCCGGCUAACUACGUGCCAGCAGCCGCGGUAAUACGUAGGGGGCAAGCGUUAUCCGGAAUUACU
This 479-nucleotide ribosomal RNA is filed under the name uncultured Clostridium sp. Its description in RNAcentral is "bacterial SSU rRNA". It matches the Rfam family "Bacterial small subunit ribosomal RNA", at positions 52 to 555 of the family's 1533-position model. The record is from RNAcentral. Lineage: Bacteria; Bacillati; Bacillota; Clostridia; Eubacteriales; Clostridiaceae.